This 254-nucleotide ribosomal RNA is filed under the name uncultured bacterium. RNAcentral's name for it is "partial 16S ribosomal RNA". It matches the Rfam family "Bacterial small subunit ribosomal RNA", at positions 524 to 776 of the family's 1533-position model. The record is from RNAcentral.
UACGUAGGGGGCAAGCGUUAUCCGGAUUUACUGGGUGUAAAGGGAGCGUAGGUGGCAUGGUAAGCCAGAAGUGAAAACCCGGGGCUCAACCCCGCGGAUUGCUUUUGGAACUAUCAGGCUGGAGUGCUGGAGGGGUAAGCGGAAUUCCUAGUGUAGCGGUGAAAUGCGUAGAUAUUAGGAGGAACACCGGUGGCGAAGGCGGCUUACUGGACUGUAACUGACGUUGAGGCUCGAAGGCGUGGGGAGCGAACAGG